RNAcentral lists this ribosomal RNA (400 nucleotides) under uncultured bacterium. RNAcentral's name for it is "bacterial SSU rRNA". It matches the Rfam family "Bacterial small subunit ribosomal RNA", at positions 355 to 748 of the family's 1533-position model. The record is from RNAcentral.
UCGAGAAUUUUUCACAAUGGGCGCAAGCCUGAUGGAGCGACGCCGCGUGGGGGAUGAAUGGCUUCGGCCCGUAAACCCCUGUCAUUUGCGAGCAAGGCGCGUUAUUUAAAAGAUGACGUGUUGAUAGUAGCGAAAGAGGAAGGGACGGCUAACUCUGUGCCAGCAGCCGCGGUAAUACAGAGGUCCCGAGCGUUGUUCGGAUUCACUGGGCGUAAAGGGUGCGUAGGUGGUGAGGCAAGUCGGAUGUGAAAUACUGGAGCUUAACUCCGGAACUGCAUUGGAAACUGCCUUGCUUGAGGUUUGGAGGGGGGACUGGAAUUCUCGGUGUAGCAGUGAAAUGCGUAGAUAUCGAGAGGAACACCAGUGGCGAAGGCGAGUCCCUGGACAACACCUGACACUG